This 319-nucleotide ribosomal RNA is filed under the name uncultured eukaryote. RNAcentral describes it as "partial 18S ribosomal RNA". It matches the Rfam family "Eukaryotic small subunit ribosomal RNA", at positions 1470 to 1796 of the family's 1831-position model. The record is from RNAcentral.
CCCUUAGAUGUCCUGGGCCGCACGCGCGCUACACUGACGGAGCCAGCGAGCUUACCCCUUUGCCGAAAGGCAUGGGAAAUCUUUUGAAUCUCCGUCGUGCUGGGGAUAGAUCAUUGCAAUUAUUGAUCUUGAACGAGGAAUUCCUAGUAAGCGCAAGUCAUCAACUUGCGUUGAUUACGUCCCUGCCCUUUGUACACACCGCCCGUCGCUCCUACCGAUGGGUGAUCCGGUGAAUGAUUCGGACUUCAGCGGCUCCCCUGGGGUGCGCCGGAGAAAGUUUUGUGAACCUUAUCACUUGGAGGAAGGAGAAGUCGUAACA